Molecule: non-coding RNA, 48 nt
Filed under: Trichobilharzia regenti
Lineage: Eukaryota; Metazoa; Platyhelminthes; Trematoda; Strigeidida; Schistosomatidae
Source: RNAcentral
AGCUAGCUGACGAGUCCAAAAUAGGAUGAAAUACGUGUUUUCCCGGAU